GGAGAGCUAUUCUCACCAGUCAGAGCCUUGGGGGUUUCUGCUGCUGGAAGAUGUUUUUGCUUUUUGGCCUCACAGAAACAUCAUCUGGCACCUCUGGGGAAUUCCAAGCUUGCCAAUGGGGAGACGGAGAAAUAAUGCCCUCAGAUUGGGUCAUUGAUGGCCACCUUGAUCAAUGAGAACCGAAAGGGAAUUGCAGCCCCUCUUGUGCACCCGAGUCAGGAGGCUCAGGUGAAAGGGGCUAGAGGAGGGGGGCCGUGAGGUCACGGCCCUGGGCCGGCCCCAUUGGAGACGCGCGCCCCUCAACCCCCUUGAUGCCCCCUUGACUCCCCACAUCUCGCGCUCGUCUGUGAAACCGGAGCCCACCUCGCCUCCGUUCAGUCCACAGACGUUUUCGCCAAGGACUUGGGACCUGCUGGCUGUGACAGGGGCUGUGUGUGCAACCGUGAGACGUGGCAGCCUAGAGGGAGCCUUUGGGGAUCGAGAGAGAUGAGCUGCUCUGAGGGCUUUGCAGUUACACCCACCGCUCCCCUCAGCAUCUGCAUCCCAGGGCGGACGUGCUGCAGGGGCCCCUCCCUCACUGGGAGGCUCGGAGGCCAGGAGGCCUGGCCUUUCUCCCGAACUUUCCCUGGGGCACCCAGGCGACGCCCUCCUGGCCACAGGCACCCCAGGUAACCGACUGGGCCCUGGGCACUCACCUUGGUUCUGGGAACACGUUGCCAUUUUCACCGGCAGCCUUUGAGGCCUUGCUCGACAGGACUAAUGGGGAGGGUGGCGGGCAUGGGGCCCACAGAUGGGGCGAUGGCUGGGGACAGAAGCCCUUUCAGGCGGCCCUGUUCUUCCGGGCGAUGCGCCCAUGGCUCUCUGGCCCCUGCCCGACGUCCUGCCUGACUCCCGUCCCUCUCUUAGGCUCCUCCGGGCUCUGCCGCCACCCACAGGCAGGAGGGCUCCAGCCCCUGAGCCCUCCCCACCCCGGCCCAGGCGGCCACCCCCGCACACUUUCUCUGGGGGAGAAGCAUCCCCCGGGCGCCCCUGGAGGAAACCCUCUGGUGAGGCUGGCUUGCUAGGCCCGAGGCUGCGGCUGGCUACGCAUCUGUGCCAAUGAGAUGAGUCUGCCGUCUGGCGAGACAGAGGCACCAUUCAGGGCCGAGGGACCAUCCUUUCCCAGAGAGCGGGGCUGGGAGGGGCCCGGCCCCGAGGCCCCAGGUUCCCAGAGAGAGGCCUGCAGGUGGGGAGAAGAGGCGGCCGCAGGCAGGGCGGACGGGCUUCUCAGGAUUCCUGCCCUGCUCCGGGCCGCUCCCCGGGGUGCCGGCAGCAAGGCCUGCUUCCCCCCACUUCGUCCAGGGCCGCUCUGUGACCUGGGACAUCAUGGUCUCUGUGAGUCUGAGUGAGCCCGGGGGGCGGCGCGGGGGACCAGUCCUGACCGCCCAGCCGGCCAGCCUCCCAAAUGUCCCCUCCAGGUGACUGCCUAACAGAAACCUCCAGUUCACUUCAGUUUACUGCUUAGUCCUCCCGGCUCCUUCUGUCAGGGGCCAAGUCCCGCGUGGGUCUCGGGUUUCUGCCCAUUUUGUGAACGGGGACACUGGCUGCCUUUGCUUCCGACCGGCCGUCUUUUUACGGUGCUUGAACAGCGCCAGCCUUGGUGACACAGAAGGACUUGUUGGGCACAAAGGUCAGCUGGUGCCGCCCUGGUGCCCCGUGAGCCUGCAGGAGGGUGAAGCCUCUGGCCUGUGCCAGGUCUGGUCACCUGGGUUAAGCGCUGUCCUUUUGUUCUAAAACGCGGGCGUGUCCAGGGGAGAAGUCUCAGCAAACAAAAAGCACUUUCUCCUAAGAAGGCCCUUAACAAAAACAAGGGCAGUGUGGUCCCCCGAAGGCUCCAGAUGGCCCGGCUGCCAGGACAGCAGGAGGGGCAGGGGAGCUCAGGGACGCCCGGAGGAAGGACCAGCCCCGGGACGUCCCUGUCCCUGGGCAGCCUGUAGAGCAGAGCCUCUGAGAGUGUGUCUCAGGGAAAUUACAUCCACUUUUCACAGCUUCUGUGGGAAGCUGGGUCUUUAGUGAGCGCUUUAUUUUCUCUUGGUCGGCCCUGCCUGAGCCCGCUGCCUCAGCAGGACCGGUUGGUGGCCCCAAAGCCAGGGACACCCCACGAGUCCUGGCCAAAACCAGCCUGCAGGGCACCGAGGCCCCAGUCCCAGGCCGGGCAGGGCCUCGUGGGCCUGAGGUCCCUGGUGGACCCGGCGGCAUCCCCCCUGCCCCUGCGCUCUCAAAGCCCCUCGGCGACGGGCGUGGCUCGUCCCGGGUCUGGCGGCAGUGUUCUGCCGCUCCUGGUCUGGCCAGUGGUCAAACCUGCAGGGUCUGACACCCCGAUGGAUAAAAGGGGUGUGCGCGCCAUGACGCGCGUCUGUAAAGUCUACGCUGGUGAAGCCCCAGCAGGCUCGGAGCAGACGGGCGUUCCUUGCUGACAGCUUCAAACCCAAGCUAAGGCGUUGUCCCCAGUUAAGAGCUAACGUGCUAAUGAGUAGCCAAUUUGUUUUUUUUAAAGUCGAUCUAUUUGUGAAAUAUCAAUAAAGCCUACGUUUUUAAUAUAUUUUUAAAA
Aethalodelphis obliquidens (Pacific white-sided dolphin) is the source of this 2590-nucleotide long non-coding RNA. RefSeq lists it as uncharacterized. Lineage: Eukaryota; Metazoa; Chordata; Mammalia; Artiodactyla; Delphinidae. The record is from RefSeq and is a predicted model, not a curated record. The transcript has 2 exons.